Molecule: long non-coding RNA, 440 nt
Organism: Lontra canadensis (Northern American river otter)
Lineage: Eukaryota; Metazoa; Chordata; Mammalia; Carnivora; Mustelidae
Exons: 3
Source: RefSeq, a predicted model, not a curated record
UUGUGAAAACAGAACUCUUGCUUGUGGAAGUGGAUUUUUUCUUGUGAAGUUUAUGAAGUAGACAUUUACUUGUAUGUGUCCUGCAUGCUGGGGGUUCAUUAAUGUGUUGAUGUUGGCAAUGAGGAACCAGCCAGGCAAAACCAAGAGAAUGUGGGGUUCAAAGAGGGGAAAAUGCAGGCAUCCUGGCUGCUCUCUGCCCAACCCAGCCUCAGGAGAAGAUGGUCUCAGAAGCCGUCGUGCCCAGAGCAGGGGCUGAGGCUAAACCAAGUGUUCCUUUUGAGCUGCCUGCAGUCAGUCCUCGGAGAUGGCCCACCACCCACCAGCCAGCCAGUCAACAAACACUCAUUCUAUUUACUGAACACCGACCAAGCUCAGCCCAGCGCUGAGUGCUUGCUGAGAAUUUUAAAAUACUGUCUUUCUGAAACUAAUGAUGUGCUCUA